Molecule: ribosomal RNA, 253 nt
Filed under: uncultured bacterium
Lineage: Bacteria
Description: partial 16S ribosomal RNA
Rfam family: Bacterial small subunit ribosomal RNA
Source: RNAcentral
UACGAAGGGUGCAAACGUUGCUCGGAAUUAUUGGGCGUAAAGCGCACGUAGGCGGCAUUGCAAGUCCCAUGUGAAAGCCCACGGCUCAACCGUGGAAGUGCAUGGGAAACUGCAGUGCUUGAGUACUUAAGAGGAUCGCGGAAUUCCCGGUGUAGAGGUGAAAUUCGUAGAUAUCGGGAGGAACACCAGUGGCGAAGGCGGCGAUCUGGGAAGAUACUGACGCUGAGGCGCGAAAGCGUGGGGAGCAAACAGG